GAUGAAGAACGCAGCGAAAUGCGAUACUUGGUGUGAAUUGCAGAAUCCCGUGAACCAUCGAGUCUUUGAACGCAAGUUGCGCCCGAAGCCAUUAGGCCGAGGGCACGCCUGCCUGGGCGUCACACGUCGUUGCCCCCCCAUCUACUCCUUCGGGAUUGCGGGGGGCGGAUGAUGGCCUCCCGUGCGCCUCGUCGCGCGGUUGGCAUAAAUGCCAAGUCCUCGGCGACGCACGCCACGACAAUCGGUGGUUGCGAAACCUCGGUUGCCCGUCGUGUGCGGUCGUCGCGCAUCGAGGGCCCGAAAAAAUUGCCGGGCUCCGGCUCGGCUUUCAACGCGACCCCAGGUCAGGCGGGGUUACCCGCUGAAUUUAAGCAUAUCAAUAAGCGGAGGA
This 391-nucleotide unclassified non-coding RNA is filed under the name soil metagenome. Its description in RNAcentral is "partial contains 5.8S ribosomal RNA, internal transcribed spacer 2, and large subunit ribosomal RNA". The stretch from base 1 to 122 matches the Rfam family "5.8S ribosomal RNA", at positions 35 to 154 of the family's 154-position model. The record is from RNAcentral.